RNAcentral lists this ribosomal RNA (459 nucleotides) under Salmonella enterica subsp. enterica serovar Oranienburg. RNAcentral describes it as "bacterial SSU rRNA". It matches the Rfam family "Bacterial small subunit ribosomal RNA", at positions 1 to 456 of the family's 1533-position model. Lineage: Bacteria; Pseudomonadati; Pseudomonadota; Gammaproteobacteria; Enterobacterales; Enterobacteriaceae. The record is from RNAcentral.
AAAUUGAAGAGUUUGAUCAUGGCUCAGAUUGAACGCUGGCGGCAGGCCUAACACAUGCAAGUCGAACGGUGACAGGAAGCAGCUUGCUGCUUUGCUGACGAGUGGCGGACGGGUGAGUAAUGUCUGGGAAACUGCCUGAUGGAGGGGGAUAACUACUGGAAACGGUGGCUAAUACCGCAUAACGUCGCAAGACCAAAGAGGGGGACCUUCGGGCCUCUUGCCAUCAGAUGUGCCCAGAUGGGAUUAGCUUGUUGGUGAGGUAACGGCUCACCAAGGCGACGAUCCCUAGCUGGUCUGAGAGGAUGACCAGCCACACUGGAACUGAGACACGGUCCAGACUCCUACGGGAGGCAGCAGUGGGGAAUAUUGCACAAUGGGCGCAAGCCUGAUGCAGCCAUGCCGCGUGUAUGAAGAAGGCCUUCGGGUUGUAAAGUACUUUCAGCGGGGAGGAAGGUGUUG